Molecule: ribosomal RNA, 120 nt
Filed under: Helianthus annuus (common sunflower)
Lineage: Eukaryota; Viridiplantae; Streptophyta; Magnoliopsida; Asterales; Asteraceae
Source: RNAcentral
GGUAGCGAUCAUACCAGCACUAAUGCACCGGAUCCCAUUAGAACUCCGCAGUUAAGCGUGCUUGGGCGAGAGUAGUACUAGGAUGGGUAACCCCCUGGGAAGUCCUCGUUGUGCAGCCCC